GAUGAACGCUGGCGGCGUGCUUAACACAUGCAAGUCGAACGAGGUCCAACCUUCGGGUGAAGACCGAGUGGCGAACGGGUGAGUAACACGUGGGCAACCUGCCCCUCACACUGGGAUAACUAAGGGAAACUUUAGCUAAUACCGGAUACUCCGAUCGGAUCGCAUGGUCUGAUCGGGAAAGCUCCGGCGGUGAGGGAUGGGCCCGCGGUCCAUUAGCUUGUUGGUGAGUUAACGGCUCACCAAGGCUGCGAUGGAUAGCCGGGCUGAGAGGCCGAUCGGCCACACUGGGACUGAGACACGGCCCAGACUCCUACGGGAGGCUG
RNAcentral lists this ribosomal RNA (323 nucleotides) under uncultured Actinomycetes bacterium. Its description in RNAcentral is "bacterial SSU rRNA". It matches the Rfam family "Bacterial small subunit ribosomal RNA", at positions 28 to 351 of the family's 1533-position model. The record is from RNAcentral. Lineage: Bacteria; Bacillati; Actinomycetota; Actinomycetes.